CCUACGGGUGGCUGCAGUGGGGAAUAUUGGACAAUGGGGGCAACCCUGAUCCAGCAAUGCCGCGUGUGUGAAGAAGGCCUGCGGGUUGUAAAGCACUUUCGGUAGGGAAGAAAAGCUGGGGGCUAAUACCUCCGGGUCUUGACGUUACCUAAAGAAGAAGCACCGGCUAACUCCGUGCCAGCAGCCGCGGUAAUACGGAGGGUGCGAGCGUUAAUAGGAAUUACUGGGCGUAAAGCUAAGUUAGGUGGGAAAGCCCUUGGCUUAACCUGGGAACUGCAUUCGCUACUGCCCGGCUAGAGUAUGGGAGAGGGAAGCGGAAUUUCCGGUGUAGCGGUGAAAUGCGUAGAUAUCGGAAGGAACACCAAUGGCGAAGGCAGCUUCCUGGCCCAAUACUGACGCUGAGGUGCGAAAGCGUGGGGAUCAAACAGGAUUAGAUACCCGGGUAGUC
Molecule: ribosomal RNA, 448 nt
Filed under: uncultured bacterium
Lineage: Bacteria
Description: partial 16S ribosomal RNA
Rfam family: Bacterial small subunit ribosomal RNA
Source: RNAcentral